AGCAAUAUCAUUACGUACAAAACAUACCUACGCAUAUCACGUCUUUAUCCUUUACGGUGUAGACGAAGCCAAUAAUAGUUCUAGUACAUUCUUGGUUUUAUCUAGUGCAAAAAAAACUUAUUUUUUGUGGUAACAAAAGGUAACAAAAACAACAGAUAGGUAUGAUUUGUUCAAAAUGGUAUGGACUUGUACAAGAAAAACCCAUAAUGGUAACAAAAACAAUUGGUCCUACAAUAGGCAAGGCUUGUAUCAUGGGCACCAUAAAGGAGAAUACAGGAAAGUUCUAUUCAGUUAGGCUAGAAUGAGAAGCCGAACUUGAAAUAAGUUACCGAAAUAUGUAGUAAUAAGUACUUCUUCCAGGAUAUCAAUGGUCUGCAUUUUUUUUUACUUAGUCGUUUUCGAUAAGGAAGAAGGAAAAAUGAAUGAACAACUGAUGGAUCCCGAGGUAGAGUUGGAGAACAAGAACUCACCAUCUGACCUCUUCAAAAUUUGCAGAGAAACCUAAUCCAUAUUGGAUUAUGAUGAUGACUGAUGUCUCAAAUUUUAACUUAUACCUUACCUUCUUUAAGCAAAUCACAUUCAAUGCAGUGAUACAUAAAGGUGUAAUUCUUGUUAGUUUCUGCUGAUAUAGGGCCAGAUAUUUUUGUCCUCAUCAUAAAAUAUUAUUCUGUUAAGUUUGGUUGCCCUAUUAGUCUGCUGUUACUAUUUUAUUAAAUACUUAAGGCUCAAAUUUCAAAUGCUUCAGGCAAUUAAUUGUUUACAUAGAUCUCGAUUCUGUUAUGGGCGUAGAUGAUAACAAGCUAUUAAUAAAUCUUACCUUUA
Long non-coding RNA from Amyelois transitella, 822 nucleotides. RefSeq lists it as uncharacterized. The transcript is spliced from 3 exons. The record is from RefSeq and is a predicted model, not a curated record. NCBI's taxonomy places the organism in Eukaryota, Metazoa, Arthropoda, Insecta, Lepidoptera, Pyralidae.